Molecule: long non-coding RNA, 1473 nt
Filed under: Gallus gallus (chicken)
Lineage: Eukaryota; Metazoa; Chordata; Aves; Galliformes; Phasianidae
Description: lncRNA (ENSGALG00010026238.1)
Source: RNAcentral
UGAGACAACUGAAUUAACUUUAUUGUUUCUUCUAACUGCAGAUUCAAGGUAUACAACUGAACAUUGCUAUUUUCCUUAUGAGACUUAUAAAUAAAAAUACAAAAAAUGUCCACUACAAAAAAAUCUACUGUUAGUAGGAUGUAAAAAAUAUUCUCUUUGCUAUAGAAGGCACGAACUUCACUUAGUGACACAUGGAGAGAAAAAAACCUGCAGCAGUAUAUUCUUUUUUUUUUCCUUUUUUUUUUUUUUCUUUUCUUUUUUUUCCUCUGUCAGAAACACUGAAGUUUUACAAAGAAAUGCAUCUGAAUCUACACAGAAUGAAGGCAGAUGCGGAGAGCUGCAACUAGGAGACACCACAACUCGGGACUUAUUUUUUUUUUUAUUCAUUUUUUCAGGAAAUUUUUAGCUAACUGCAUCUGUGGCUAGAGAACAGAUAGGACUCGCAAGCAGUACUGCAAAGGAACAAACAGCGAGGAAACAGAAUUGUACAAAAAAAAAAGUAGUAACCCAUACUCUGAAGAAACAAAAAACAAAAAAUUGGGCACCUUCUAAAAUGAGGCUACCAGGAGGUGCUGAGGUAGACGGAACUAUAACAUCAAUUAAUUCCAAACACUAGUUUUAAUACAGAGCAAUCAGACUGGCACUUGGGCUGUCACGACAUAAAAGACAAGCGAUGAAAGAAAGCCUUAGUUUGCUUGGUCCAGCAGGGCAGUUGGUCCUCAGUGCUAUAAUAUACAUAUAUAUACUUAUAUAUAUAUGGAUAGGUGUCAUGGAGCUUAACCAUGGCUUCGCAGCCUUAGAAGUUCAUGCAUACGUAACACUAUGUGAAACAAAUACUAGGAUGUGCACUCAAACACUGGGACUGGGUGUGGGAGAGGCACCGUGCUAUGCUGCACUGCCCAACAUGGGGACAUACUGGCAUGGCACAGCAUCUGGGCAACCCAUCAUCAGACACAGCCUUGCAGUGACUCUGCUCGUGCUGUUUGGGAGCCAACGGGAAUCCCGAUUCACAUUCUGCACCAUGCUGAGCUCUGAAGCCAAACGAUGCCAAUGUCUGUGUUAGGGGAGGAAGGGGACAGUGAGAGGGGAGGGAACAUAAAAGCAACAAAAGCCACGUGAGCUCAGCUGAGCGCUCAGCAGUACCAUGACACCCACGACCAGCAGUACCAAUUCACUGCAAAAAGGUACCAUAUACUUGUGAGAAAUUGCAGCAACCGUUUAUGUGAAAGAACUGGUGUGUUGUUUUGUUGUUGUUGUUGGUUGUGUGUAUGUGUGUGUUUCUCUUUAGGCACAAAGAUUAAACAAGCCAUUCUCCAAAGUUACAUCCUGGAUUGUACUACAUCAGCAUCUGCCCCGCUUCACCUCCUCGGCGCGGAGCAGCCAAAGUGCCACUGCUCGCAGGUGCACACGGGGCAUUGCUGCACGGUGCUCUGCACGGACAGACCCUCCCAGCAGCACCACCACGGCUCAGGG